UACGGAGGGUGCAAGCGUUGUUCGGAAUCACUGGGCGUAAAGGGCGCGUAGGCGGUCUUGCAAGUCUGAUGUGAAAGCCCGGGGCUCAACUCCGGAAGGGCAUUGGAAACUGUAAGACUUGAGUUCGGGAGAGGAAGGCAGAAUUCCCGGUGUAGGGUUGAAAUCCGUAGAUAUCGGGAGGAAAACCGGUGGCGAAGGCGGCCUUCUGGAACGAAACUGACGCUGAGGCGCGAAAGCGUGGGGAGCAAAC
RNAcentral lists this ribosomal RNA (250 nucleotides) under uncultured bacterium. RNAcentral's name for it is "partial 16S ribosomal RNA". It matches the Rfam family "Bacterial small subunit ribosomal RNA", at positions 524 to 773 of the family's 1533-position model. The record is from RNAcentral.